RNAcentral lists this ribosomal RNA (253 nucleotides) under uncultured bacterium. RNAcentral's name for it is "partial 16S ribosomal RNA". It matches the Rfam family "Bacterial small subunit ribosomal RNA", at positions 524 to 776 of the family's 1533-position model. The record is from RNAcentral.
UACGAAGGGGGCUAGCGUUGUUCGGAAUCACUGGGCGUAAAGCGCACGCAGGCGGAUUGAUAAGUCGGGGGUGAGAUCCCGGGGCUCAACCUCGGAAUUGCCUUCGAUACUGUCUGUCUUGAGUCCGGGAGAGGUGAGUGGAAUUCCUAGUGUAGAGGUGAAAUUCGUAGAUAUUAGGAAGAACACCAGUGGCGAAGGCGGCUCACUGGCCCGGUACUGACGCUCAUGUGCGAAAGCGUGGGGAGCAAACAGG